GGGCCCGUCGCCUAGACGGAUAGGGCGUCGACAUAGACGUAAGCCUUCUAAGCCGAAGGUCGUGGGUUCGAAUCCCACCGGGCCCGCCA
This 89-nucleotide transfer RNA is filed under the name archaeon. Its description in RNAcentral is "tRNA-OTHER". It matches the Rfam family "tRNA". Rfam says of the family: Transfer RNA (tRNA) molecules are approximately 80 nucleotides in length. Their secondary structure includes four short double-helical elements and three loops (D, anti-codon, and T loops). The record is from RNAcentral. RNAcentral also lists the same sequence under 2 other names.